This 325-nucleotide small nuclear RNA is filed under the name Heterocephalus glaber (naked mole-rat). RNAcentral's name for it is "7SK RNA". It matches the Rfam family "7SK RNA". Rfam says of the family: 7SK was discovered as an abundant small nuclear RNA in the mid-70s but a possible function has only recently been suggested. Two independent studies have found that 7SK RNA binds the CDK9/cyclin T complex (known as elongation factor P-TEFb). Lineage: Eukaryota; Metazoa; Chordata; Mammalia; Rodentia; Bathyergidae. The record is from Rfam by way of RNAcentral.
GGAUGUAAGGGCGAUCUGGCUGCAACAUCUGACACCCCAUUGAUCGCCAGGGUUGAUUCGUCUGAUCUGGCUGACUGGCGAUUGGUCCUUCCACCCUCACGCACCGUAUGCGACCCUCAGGAAGCGCUCGGUGGAAGAGGACGACCACCCCCAUAGAGGAGGACGGUUUCCUCGGUCAAGGGUAUAGGAGUAGCUGUGCUUCCCUGUUAGAACCUCCAAACAGGCUUUCAAAGUCCAAAUCUACUUUUUCCACAAAAGACGGAAACAGUAAGAGAGAACUCAGGAGAUUAAGAAAUCUCUACAAAAAUGAAGCCCUCAUUCAUCU